AUACCCGCUCCGCGAGUGGUGAGGACUAUUACUGGGCUUAAAGCGCCCGUAGCCGGCCGGGUGUGUCCUCCGUUAAAUCCACAGGCCUAACCUGUGGGCUGCGGGGGAUACUACCCGGCUUGGGGGUGGGAGAGGGCGGCGGUAUUCCCGGGGUAGGGGUAAAAUCCACUGAUCCCGGGAGGACCACCAGUGGCGAAGGCGGCCGCCCAGAACACGCCCGACGGUGAGGGGCGAAAGCUGGGGGAGCAAACGGGAUUAGAAACCCCAGUAGUCC
This 274-nucleotide ribosomal RNA is filed under the name uncultured bacterium. RNAcentral describes it as "partial 16S ribosomal RNA". It matches the Rfam family "Archaeal small subunit ribosomal RNA", at positions 473 to 747 of the family's 1478-position model. The record is from RNAcentral.